CCUCGUUCCUAGGAACCGAAUAUUCGGCCCAGAUGCGGAACCCCUCCAAAACGAGCGGACGACACGGAACCGGCUCUCUUCUCGCACGCCCAGCCCUAUCGCCUCUCCUCGCUGCGCCGCCUCCCCCUCGUCUCUCUCUCUCUCCCUCGAUCUGCGCCGCCCCGCCCCGCCCCGCCCCGCCUUCCCCCGAUUCUUUCCCUCGCAGCGGCUGACUCCUCCCCUCUUGAUCUGCAGCACAUGAGGGAAGCAGGCCGUCCUUUCUCUCGAUCUGGAGCUGCGUGGCGGUAGUUUUGUCAGAGGGGUUGCAGCGGGGCGGCGGUGUAGGCGUGAUUCCGGCGAGCUAACAACGGCGGUAGAGGCUCCUCUCCUCAAGGUGCGACAUCUCUUCCUUACCCCUUGUAUGUGCUCUGUGCUCUUCAAACUAGUGCAGCCGCUGUUACACUUUGCAGUCAUGAAGAUUGCCCAGCCGAGAUAUAUGUUGAUGUGUUAAAUCCCUAGUACAAGUUAUUGGUAGCCAUAUUCUUGACAGUGUUUACUCCUCUCUACGUCUUCAGAUUUUGUUGCUGCAACCUCUACAAUCUACCUCAUACAUUGGUCAAGCGUGCUGCUGCUGCUCCAAGGCAGGAUGCCACACUGAAGCCAAAUGCACAAAUUAUCCCAAAGAAGGCAGCAUACAUUUGUUCAGAUCAAAUCAGCUCAGAGUUAGCCAAUACCGAAUCAGUGUUUUUCUUUACCUUUGGCGUCAUGUACACAGAAAAGAAAACGCCUACGAAGAUCCUGAUUGCCGCUGUGAAGUAUUAUGGUGUAUGUUUGUAUAUUCACACGGAAAAUGAACUUGCUAUAUUAUGAUAUUGUUGUCGAAAAUUGUGUUCUGUGUAAUAUCAUAUAUGUAUCAUGCUUGUCAAUAUAUAGUGUUAUGUUUUUUCUAAGUACAAAAGAAAUGCUGCC
Molecule: long non-coding RNA, 948 nt
Filed under: Triticum aestivum (bread wheat)
Lineage: Eukaryota; Viridiplantae; Streptophyta; Magnoliopsida; Poales; Poaceae
Description: long non-coding RNA (TAES_LNC004090)
Source: RNAcentral